Molecule: ribosomal RNA, 585 nt
Filed under: uncultured bacterium
Lineage: Bacteria
Description: partial 16S ribosomal RNA
Rfam family: Bacterial small subunit ribosomal RNA
Source: RNAcentral
UGGGGAAUUUUGGACAAUGGGCGAAAGCCUGAUCCAGCAAUGCCGCGUGUGUGAAGAAGGCCUUCGGGUUGUAAAGCACUUUUGUCCGGAAAGAAAUCCUUGGCUCUAAUACAGUCGGGGGAUGACGGUACCGGAAGAAUAAGCACCGGCUAACUACGUGCCAGCAGCCGCGGUAAUACGUAGGGUGCAAGCGUUAAUCGGAAUUACUGGGCGUAAAGCGUGCGCAGGCGGUUUGCUAAGACCGAUGUGAAAUCCCCGGGCUCAACCUGGGAACUGCAUUGGUGACUGGCAGGCUAGAGUAUGGCAGAGGGGGGUAGAAUUCCACGUGUAGCAGUGAAAUGCGUAGAGAUGUGGAGGAAUACCGAUGGCGAAGGCAGCCCCCUGGGCCAAUACUGACGCUCAUGCACGAAAGCGUGGGGAGCAAACAGGAUUAGAUACCCUGGUAGUCCACGCCCUAAACGAUGUCAACUAGUUGUUGGGGAUUCAUUUCCUUAGUAACGUAGCUAACGCGUGAAGUUGGCCGCCUGGGGAGUACGGUCGCAAGAUUAAAACUUAAAUGAAUUGACGGGGUCAUAGCUGUUUCCU